This is an RNA transcript of Nelumbo nucifera (sacred lotus), 2404 nucleotides long. It is a transcript of the gene named cyclin-T1-3-like, with no coding region annotated. The record is from RefSeq and is a predicted model, not a curated record. Lineage: Eukaryota; Viridiplantae; Streptophyta; Magnoliopsida; Proteales; Nelumbonaceae.
AAACACGAGGAAUUGUUGUGGAUUUUUUAUUAUUUUAUGGGUGACUUGAAGGCUCAAGUCUUCGUGGUGACCUGCUAGCCGGAAAAAGAAAGUCUACGGGUUAUCUAGGGUUCUUGGGUGUACCUUUCUGGGAUUUAUUUGGAAUUGAUCUUACAAGCUUCCGAUGGUUAUCAACUGACCGCUCAAUCCUGAAUAAUUCCAGGUAUUUGUCCUCUGAAUCGUUUUCUUUCCCGCCUUUUUACAACAAAAUCUACUUGAAGACCCCCGGAAAUUCGAGAAUAGGAAGCUCGAUACCUCUCAGCAUUAAAUCCUUGGAAGUUCCCUGGUCCCCAGCAAACAGCUUCCUAAAAAGAAGGCUUGGUUUUGUAAAUACACAUUUUCCUAUCUUCUACUGAGAACAGAAGGUGACCAUGGCAGGACAGCUGCCAGGGGAUCCUUCCCAGUGUGGAAUUGCAAGAGAUAGAGUUCAUAUGAUUUCUGGGGAGACAUUUGAAGGGCCUGAAUCUUGUGUGCCUAGAUGGUACUUCAGCAGAAAAGAAAUAGAAGACAAUUCCCCAUCUAGGAAGGAUGGAAUUGACUUUAAGAAAGAGGCACAACUACGAAGAUUAUACUGUUCAUUUAUUCAGGAUCUGGGGAAGAAGCUUAAAGUGCCCCAGUUAACUAUUGCAGCAGCUAUGAUGUUAUGCCAUCGAUUUUAUCUACGUCAGUCUCAUGCAAAAAAUGAAUGGCAGACAAUUGCAACAGUGAGCAUGUUUCUUGCAUGCAAAGUGGAAGAAACACCACGUUUGCUAAAGGAUGUUGUCAUUGUGGCUUAUGAGACAAUGUAUAGAAGGGAUCCUGCUGCUGCACACAGAAUUAAAGAAAAAGAUGUUUACGAGAAGCAGAAAGAACUGAUCUUAAUUGGAGAGAGACUUUUACUAGCUACUAUUGCAUAUGAUCUCAAUAUCCCGCUUCCCUACAAGCCACUUGUUUCAGCUCUAAAGAGAUUGAAGAUAGUUCACAAUGAUCUUGCAAAAGUGGCAUGGAAUUUUGUGAAUGACUGGCUUUGGACCACACUGUGUUUGCAGUACAAAGCCCAAUAUAUUGCAGCUGGUUCCAUGUUCCUUGCUGCUAAGUUUAAUGAAGUGAAGCUGCCUACAGAGAAGGGGAAAGUUUGGUGGCUGGAGUUUGAUGUUUCACCUAAACAGUUAGAAGAGGUUAUUCAACAGAUGCUUGUGCUGCUUGAGCAGAACAAGAGACCAGUAAUGCGUUUUUUUUGUGAGAAGGCAGUCCAAGCUACAGUUGUAGUUGAAAAAGCAGUCCAGAGUCCACAAUCAUGUGGUCUAAGUGGGUCAGGUUCUGCUUUGAGCCAUGGUUCUGAUGGAGAUGACAGGUUUGUAAAGGAUGCAGAUUCAAAUGUUGGCUGCAAGAAAAACUCAUUUCUUGCUGAGAAAGGAGACCCAUUACAAUGUAGGACAAGUGAUUGUGGAAGCAUGAACAGUGUUGUUGAGGAUGGAAAUAUGUCUGAUGAGGGUGAGGUUCAGGCAAAAACUACAGUAUCCAAUAAGAUUUCAAGUUGUAAGAUUGUUUCAGUUCGUGGGGGCCUUAGUGAUCUUGACAAGGAUCGGAUUAGAGAGGCAAUGAAGAAGAGGAAGUCUUAUAGAGCUUCAAAUAAGGUUGCAGUUGCUGUGUAUGAUGAUAAAGAUGAUGAUGCAUGGAUAGUGAGAGAGCUGGAAAUGGGAAUAGAGCUGGAGUCUGCACCUGUGGAGAAGAGACAAAGGCAUGUCUGAUGGAUUGGUUGAAUUUGAGCUGGAGUCUGCACCAUUUCCCUUCCCCCCCAUUUCUGAUUGGGGUGACUAUCAAAUUUCGUCACGUGGAAGACAAUGAGUAUGAACUUUAUCUGGAUUCAUAAAAUAAUCGAGGUUGGUUAUAAUGCUCUGUAAUUUGCCUUUGGUCCUCAAUGUAUCCAACAGAUAGGGUACUUUUUCUUGUAAUUGUUCGGGUCAUCAUUCGAUUUAAUUAAUGAAUUAUGAACCUAAAAGCUACAAGCUUCCUUUACGAGCCUGGAUGGUCAAAUUAGAAAACCUGGUCCGUGCUUGGUUUGGACCAGCUUUUUUCACAUGGAGAACGAACAUAUACCAGUAGAAGAAAAAGAAAGAGAAGCAAAGAAAAUGCGAGGGGUUUGAAUCUUGAGAUUGCUAUUGAAAUGGUUCAAGCUUAUCGUACACAAUUCUUGAUCUUUCAGAUGCCUGGUUUGCUAGUCACGUGAUUAUAAUAUUUCACUUUUUCUCAAGUUGAAUUUGAUUUAUUUAGUUUUAUUUUCAAUGGGUGCAUUUGGCAUAUGUCUACAACAUCCUUAGACGAAUCUUUUUCCACCAUCCUGGCUUUGUUAAAUGUAAUUAUUUAUGGUCUAUUUCUAAGGUUA